UCGCGUUGUUGGUGAUCUACCUCCUCCCAGAGAGCCAACAGAGUUGCGGUGCACCUCCUCCCGCGCCGCAAUCAAAUCAAGCCCGCCGCACCUCCUCCCGCGGCGGGCUUUUUUG
RNAcentral lists this small RNA (115 nucleotides) under Mesorhizobium australicum. RNAcentral describes it as "Alphaproteobacterial ar14". It matches the Rfam family "Alphaproteobacterial ar14". Rfam says of the family: Smr14C2 was renamed NfeR1 (Nodule Formation Efficiency RNA) highly expressed in salt stress and during the symbiotic interaction on legume roots. Lineage: Bacteria; Pseudomonadati; Pseudomonadota; Alphaproteobacteria; Hyphomicrobiales; Phyllobacteriaceae. The record is from Rfam by way of RNAcentral.